ACAAUUAAACCACAAAUUGUUCGCCAAAUAACUACGAGUAAAAACUUAAAAUUUAAAAGACUUGACGGUACUUCACAACAACCUAGAGGAGCCUGUCCUAUAACCGAUAACCCACGAUUAACCCUACCCCCCCUGGCCUACAGUCUAUAUACCGCCGUCGCCAGCCUACCUUGUGAAAGAAAUAAAGUAAGCUAAACAACACACAUUAACACGACAGGUCGAGGUGUAACUAAUGGGGCGGAGAAAGAUGGGCUACAUUUUCCACCAGGAAUAUACGAAUGCGAUUACGAAAGAUUAGCCGCUGAAGGCGGAUUUAGCAGUAAGAUAAGAAUAAAAUGCCUAACUGAAAUAUGCAAUGAAGUGCGUACACACCGCCCGUCAUCCC
RNAcentral lists this ribosomal RNA (385 nucleotides) under Pareas formosensis (Formosa slug snake). RNAcentral's name for it is "partial 12S ribosomal RNA". Lineage: Eukaryota; Metazoa; Chordata; Lepidosauria; Squamata; Pareidae. The record is from RNAcentral.